UAAAAACCAUGAUCCCUAUGAACCCAGGGGCCUUAAACACUGAGCCACGCCCUCAGUCCUUUUUUUUUUUUUUGAGACAGUCUCAAUAAGUUGCUGAGGUUGGCCUUGAUUUUCCUGCCUCAGCCUCCCCAAUGAUUGGGAUUACACAGGUGUGUGCCACCACCCAGGCUCCAUUUUCUUUCUCUCCUUUUUUUUUAAAAUAGUUUUUAGAUGUUGAUGGACCUUUAUUUUAUUCAUUUAUUUAUAUGCAGUGCUGAGACUUGAACCCAGUGCCUCACACAUGCCCUCUGCCACUGAGUCACAACCCCAACCCCCAGGAUUUUCUUGUCAUGAGAAAGCAUGAGAAGAGAAAGGGGUGCCAUUUAGUAAAGGGUGUUGGAGUUGGACAGUGAUCCACUCCUAUAAUCUGUAAUCCCAUCUUAGGGAGGCCAGGGCAGAAAGAUCACAGGUUCAAGACCAGCCUGGGCAGUCUAGCAAGACCCUGUGUCAAGGUUGGUAUUGUAGCUCAGUGGUGGAGUGCUUGCCUAACGUGUGAGGCACUGGGUUUGAUUCUCAGUAUCACACUGAGAAAAAGACACUAUUUCAAAAUGAAAAGGGCUGGGGGGCUGGGGAUAUAGCUCAGUUGGUAGAGUGCUUGCCUCGCAUGC
Molecule: long non-coding RNA, 647 nt
Filed under: Marmota monax (woodchuck)
Lineage: Eukaryota; Metazoa; Chordata; Mammalia; Rodentia; Sciuridae
Source: RNAcentral